Molecule: ribosomal RNA, 181 nt
Filed under: uncultured Rhodocyclales bacterium
Lineage: Bacteria; Pseudomonadati; Pseudomonadota; Betaproteobacteria; Rhodocyclales
Description: partial 16S ribosomal RNA
Rfam family: Bacterial small subunit ribosomal RNA
Source: RNAcentral
AAGGGUGGCUAAUACCGCAUAAAUUCUGAGGAAGAAAGCUGGGGACCUAGGAAUAGGCCUAGCGCUUUUUGAGCGGCCGAUGUCGGAUUAGCUAGUUGGUGAGGUAAAGGCUCACCAAGGCGAAGAUCUGUAGCGGGUCUGAGAGGAUGAUCCGCCACACUGGGACUGAGACACGGCCCAG